RNAcentral lists this ribosomal RNA (397 nucleotides) under uncultured bacterium. RNAcentral's name for it is "bacterial SSU rRNA". It matches the Rfam family "Bacterial small subunit ribosomal RNA", at positions 29 to 420 of the family's 1533-position model. The record is from RNAcentral.
AUUGAACGCUGGCGGCAUGCCUAACACAUGCAAGUCGAACGGCAGCACAGCAGUAGCAAUACUGUGGGUGGCGAGUGGCGGACGGGUGAGGAAUACGUCGGAAUCUGCCCAGUCGUGGGGGAUAACUAGCCGAAAGGUUAGCUAAUACCGCAUACGACCGAGAGGUGAAAGCGGGGGGACCGCAAGGCCUCGCGCGAUUGGAUGAGCCGACGUCGGAUUAGCUAGUUGGCGGGGUAAAGGCCCACCAAGGCGACGAUCCGUAGCUGGUCUGAGAGGAUGAUCAGCCACACUGGAACUGAGACACGGUCCAGACUCCUACGGGAGGCAGCAGUGGGGAAUAUUGGACAAUGGGCGCAAGCCUGAUCCAGCAAUGCCGCGUGUGUGAAGAAGGCCUCGG